UGCCCGUUCGUCCAACCGGCAGGACUCCGGACCCUGGAUCCGGCAAUCGAGGUUCGAACCCUCGACGGGCAG
RNAcentral lists this transfer RNA (72 nucleotides) under Amycolatopsis carbonis. Its description in RNAcentral is "Amycolatopsis sp. 2-15 tRNA-Gln". It matches the Rfam family "tRNA". Rfam says of the family: Transfer RNA (tRNA) molecules are approximately 80 nucleotides in length. The record is from RNAcentral. Lineage: Bacteria; Bacillati; Actinomycetota; Actinomycetes; Pseudonocardiales; Pseudonocardiaceae.